Molecule: ribosomal RNA, 377 nt
Filed under: uncultured bacterium
Lineage: Bacteria
Description: bacterial SSU rRNA
Rfam family: Bacterial small subunit ribosomal RNA
Source: RNAcentral
UAAUACGAAGGUGGCGAGCGUUGUUCGGAUUUACUGGGCAUAAAGGGCGCGUAGGCGGUUCCGUAAGCAGCGUGUGAAAUCCCACAGCUCAACUGUGGAACUGCACGCUGGACUGCGGUUCUCGAGGACGGCAGGGGGGUGCGGAACUCUAGGUGUAGCGGUGAAAUGCGUAGAUAUCUAGAGGAACACCGGUGGCGAAAGCGACACCCUGGGCCGUCUCUGACGCUGAGGCGCGAAAGCGUGGGUAGCAAACAGGAUUAGAUACCCUGGUAGUCCACGCCGUAAACGAUGAGCACUAGGUAGCCGUCGGAACCGACCGGUGGCUGCUGAAGGAAAUCCAUUAAGUGCUCCGCCUGGGGAGUAUGGUCGCAAGGCUG